GUGUCAGCCGCCGCGGUAAGACAGAGGUGCCAAGCGUUAGGCGGAAUCACUGGGCUUAAAGCGUGUGUAGGCGGAUCGUUAAGUGCCUUGUGAAAUCCCCCGGCUCAACCGGGGAAUGGCUGGGCAUACUGGCGGUCUUGAGCCAUCUAGGGGCAGCUGGAACAAACGGUGGAGCGGUGAAAUGCGUAGAUAUCGUUUGGAACGCCCAAGGUGAAAACAGGCUGCUGGGGAUGAGCUGACGCUGAGACACGAAAGCCAGGGGAGCAAACGGGAUUAGAAACCCCAGUAGUCC
This 292-nucleotide ribosomal RNA is filed under the name uncultured bacterium. Its description in RNAcentral is "partial 16S ribosomal RNA". It matches the Rfam family "Bacterial small subunit ribosomal RNA", at positions 505 to 796 of the family's 1533-position model. The record is from RNAcentral.